Homo sapiens (human) is the source of this 996-nucleotide long non-coding RNA. Ensembl annotates it as peptidylprolyl cis/trans isomerase, NIMA-interacting 1 pseudogene 1. Its record names the gene PIN1P1. NCBI's taxonomy places the organism in Eukaryota, Metazoa, Chordata, Mammalia, Primates, Hominidae. The record is from Ensembl.
CUUUAUUUACAAAAACAAGAGCGUGAGGAGGAAAGAUGGCGGACGAGGAGAAACUGCCGCCUGGCUGGGAAAAGCGCAUGAGCCGCCCCUCAGGCCGAGGGUACUACUUCAACCACAUCACUAACCCCAGCCAGUGGGAGCGGCCCAGCGGGAACAGCAGCAGUGGCGGCAAAAUCUGGCAGGGGGAGCCCGCCAGGGUCCGCCGCUCGCACCUGCUAGUGAAGCCAGUCAAGGCGGCCCUCGACCUGGCGGCAGGAAAUCACCCGGACCAAGGAGGAGGCCCUGGAGCUGAUCAGCGGCUACAUCCAGAAGAUCAAGGCAGGAGAGAAGGACUUUGAGUCUCCGGCCUCACAAUUCAGCGACUGCAGCUCGGCCAAGGCCAGGGGAGACCUGGGUGCCUUCAGCAAAGGUCAGAUGCAGAAGCCAUUUGAAGACCCCUGGUUUGCGCGGCGGACGGGGGAGAUGAGCGGGACAGUGUUCACGGAUUCCGGCAUCCACGUCAUUGUCCGCACGGAGUGAGGAUUGGGGGCCCAGGCCUGGCCUCGGGGUUCCCCCGCUGCCUGCUGGCCAGUGGCCGAACCCCCCACUCCCUGCCACUGUCACACAGUAUUUAUUGUUACCAAAAUGGCUGGGAGGGGGCCCUUCCAGACUGGGGGCCCUUCCAGACUGGGGGCCCUGGGGUUCCCCACUCCCUGUCAGUCCCCAGUUGGGGCUGCGACCUCCAGACUCUCCAUUAAGGAGUUGACUUCAGCAUGGGAGGGAGGCUCGCAGACCCAGGGCAAUGUGGUGGGAGGAGUGUUCCAAAGAGAAGAUCUGGUCAGCAGAGCCGCCCCAUGUCCCACCAGGUCCUGGAGGCAGAUGCGAGGGCCCAGAGUUGUUUGUAGUUAGGCCACGCUUCUCUGUUCAGUAGCAAAAGCAAACACUCGUGGGCCCAGCUGUGGGCCCUCUGAGCAACUUUGCAGCACCCUUUCACCCCCAAUUAAAUCCGGAACCACU